This 445-nucleotide ribosomal RNA is filed under the name uncultured bacterium. RNAcentral describes it as "partial 16S ribosomal RNA". It matches the Rfam family "Bacterial small subunit ribosomal RNA", at positions 354 to 796 of the family's 1533-position model. The record is from RNAcentral.
GUGAGGAAUAUUGCGCAAUGGAGGCAACUCUGACGCAGCCAUGCCGCGUGCAGGAAGAAGGCGCUACGCGUUGUAAACUGCUUUUAACCGGGAAGAAACCCCAGGACGUGUCCUGGGUUGACGGUACCGGAGGAAUAAGCACCGGCUAACUUCGUGCCAGCAGCCGCGGUAAUACGAAGGGUGCAAGCGUUAUCCGGAUGCAUUGGGUUUAAAGGGUGCGUAGGCGGAGCGUUAAGUCAGUGGUGAAAUCCUGCAGCUUAACUGUAGACUUGCCAUGGAUACUGGCGCUCUUGAGUGCGCUUGAAGUGGGCGGAAUGUGCCGUGUAGCGGUGAAAUGCUUAGAUAUGGUACAGAACACCAAUUGCGAAGGCAGCUCACUAAGGCGAUACUGACGCUGAGGCACGAAAGCGUGGGGAUCGAACAGGAUUAGAAACCCCUGUAGUCC